AGUGAACGCUGGCGGUAGGCCUAACACAUGCAAGUCGAACGGCAGCACAGUAAGAGCUUGCUCUUACGGGUGGCGAGUGGCGGACGGGUGAGGAAUACAUCGGAAUCUACUUUUUCGUGGGGGAUAACGUAGGGAAACUUACGCUAAUACCGCAUACGACCUACGGGUGAAAGCAGGGGAUCUUCGGACCUUGCGCGAUUGAAUGAGCCGAUGUCGGAUUAGCUAGUUGGCGGGGUAAAGGCCCACCAAGGCGACGAUCCGUAGCUGGUCUGAGAGGAUGAUCAGCCACACUGGAACUGAGACACGGUCCAGGCUCCUACGGGAGGCAGCAGUGGGGAAUAUUGGGCAAUGGGCGCAAGCCUGGUCCAGCCAUACCGCGUGGGUGAAGAAGGCCUUCGGGUUGUAAAGCCCUUUUGUUGGGAAAGAAAAGCAGCAGGUUAAUACCCCGCUGUUCUGACGGUACCCAAAGAAUAAGCACCGGCUAACUUCGUG
Molecule: ribosomal RNA, 492 nt
Filed under: uncultured bacterium
Lineage: Bacteria
Description: partial 16S ribosomal RNA
Rfam family: Bacterial small subunit ribosomal RNA
Source: RNAcentral